AGAGUGAACGCUGGCGGUAGGCCUAACACAUGCAAGUCGAACGGCAGCACAGGAGAGCUUGCUCUCUGGGUGGCGAGUGGCGGACGGGCGAGGAAUACAUCGGAAUCUACCUUUUCGUGGGGGAUAACGUAGGGAAACUUACGCUAAUACCGCAUAAGACCUUCGGGUGAAAGCCGGGGACCUUCGGGCCUGGCGCGGAUAGAUGAGCCGAUGUCGGAUUAGCUUGUUGGCGGGGUAAAAGCCCACCAAGGCGACGAUCCGUAGCUGGUCUGAGAGGAUGAUCAGCCACACUGGAACUGAGACACGGUCCAGACUCCUACGGGAGGCAG
Molecule: ribosomal RNA, 329 nt
Filed under: uncultured soil bacterium
Lineage: Bacteria
Description: bacterial SSU rRNA
Rfam family: Bacterial small subunit ribosomal RNA
Source: RNAcentral